AAAAGCUUGCUUUUGAAGAUGACGAGCGGCGGACGGGUGAGUAAUGCCUGGGAAUUUGCCCAUUUGUGGGGGAUAACAGUUGGAAACGACUGCUAAUACCGCAUACGCCCUACGGGGGAAAGCAGGGGACCUUAGGGCCUUGCGCUGAUGGAUAAGCCCAGGUGGGAUUAGCUAGUAGGUGAGGUAAAGGCUCACCUAGGCGACGAUCCCUAGCUGGUCUGAGAGGAUGAUCAGCCACACUGGGACUGAGACACGGCCCAGACUCCUACGGGAGGCAGCAGUGGGGAAUAUUGCACAAUGGGGGAAACCCUGAUGCAGCCAUGCCGCGUGUGUGAAGAAGGCCUUCGGGUUGUAAAGCACUUUCAGCGAGGAGGAAAGGGUGUAAGUUAAUACCUUACAUCUGUGACGUUACUCGCAGAAGAAGCACCGGCUAACUCCGUGCCAGCAGCCGCGGUAAUACGGAGGGUGCGAGCGUUAAUCGGAAUUACUGGGCGUAAAGCGUGCGCAGGCGGUUUGUUAAGCGAGAUGUGAAAGCCCCGGGCUCAACCUGGGAACCGCAUUUCGAACUGGCAAACUAGAGUCUUGUAGAGGGGGGUAGAA
Molecule: ribosomal RNA, 600 nt
Filed under: Shewanella sp. HdiPB02
Lineage: Bacteria; Pseudomonadati; Pseudomonadota; Gammaproteobacteria; Alteromonadales; Shewanellaceae
Description: bacterial SSU rRNA
Rfam family: Bacterial small subunit ribosomal RNA
Source: RNAcentral